This 439-nucleotide ribosomal RNA is filed under the name uncultured bacterium. RNAcentral's name for it is "bacterial SSU rRNA". It matches the Rfam family "Bacterial small subunit ribosomal RNA", at positions 32 to 507 of the family's 1533-position model. The record is from RNAcentral.
AACGACGCUGGCGGCAGGCCUUAAACACAUGCAAGUCGAACGCGUGUAGCAAUACACGAGUGGCGCGACGGGUGAGUAACGCGUGGAUAUCUGUCCUUUUGGUUCGGAAUAACUCCGGGAAACUGGAGCUAAUACCGGAUGGUUCCUACGGGAUAAAGAUUUAUCGCCAAAAGAUGAGUCCGCGUACGAUUAGCUAGUUGGUGAGGUAAUGGCUCACCAAGGGCGACGAUCGUUAGCUGGUCUGAGAGGACGAUCAGCCACACUGGGACUGAGACACGGCCCAGACUCCUACGGGAGGCAGCAGUGGGGAAUAUUGGACAAUGGGGGCAACCCUGAUCCAGCCAUGCCGCGUGAGUGAUGAAGGCCUUCGGGUUGUAAAGCUCUUUUGGCGGGGACGAUGAUGACGGUACCCGCAGAAUAAGCCCCGGCUAACUUCGUG